Molecule: ribosomal RNA, 465 nt
Filed under: Vreelandella stevensii
Lineage: Bacteria; Pseudomonadati; Pseudomonadota; Gammaproteobacteria; Oceanospirillales; Halomonadaceae
Description: partial 16S ribosomal RNA
Rfam family: Bacterial small subunit ribosomal RNA
Source: RNAcentral
CCUACGGGAGGCUGCAGUGGGGAAUAUUGGACAAUGGGGGCAACCCUGAUCCAGCCAUGCCGCGUGUGUGAAGAAGGCCCUCGGGUUGUAAAGCACUUUCAGUGAGGAAGAACGCCUGGUGGUUAAUACCCAUCAGGAAAGACAUCACUCACAGAAGAAGCACCGGCUAACUCCGUGCCAGCAGCCGCGGUAAUACGGAGGGUGCGAGCGUUAAUCGGAAUUACUGGGCGUAAAGCGCGCGUAGGUGGCUUGAUAAGCCGGUUGUGAAAGCCCCGGGCUCAACCUGGGAACGGCAUCCGGAACUGUCAAGCUAGAGUGCAGGAGAGGAAGGUAGAAUUCCCGGUGUAGCGGUGAAAUGCGUAGAGAUCGGGAGGAAUACCAGUGGCGAAGGCGGCCUUCUGGACUGAUACUGACACUGAGGUGCGAAAGCGUGGGUAGCAAACAGGAUUAGAUACCCCUGUAGUC